RNAcentral lists this long non-coding RNA (263 nucleotides) under Prunus persica (peach). Its description in RNAcentral is "long non-coding RNA (PPER_LNC003809)". The record is from RNAcentral. Lineage: Eukaryota; Viridiplantae; Streptophyta; Magnoliopsida; Rosales; Rosaceae.
UGUAAUCCAAAAAAGAAACUUUACAUAUUCCAGAACAUUAAUUUCCUUCAUUUUAAAUUUUCUCCGGAAAAAAAAACUCUAUUUAUAACGCAUUGUAAUUGAAAAAUAAACUGAAAGGUCACGGGAAAAAAAAUUCUAUUCAUAAUUUAAAAAUUCAAAUCCACGUCGGUUAUAUUAAACCUAACGACGUUAAAUGAAAAGAUUCCACGUCGCAAAACAAAUAUUGCGUUGUGUUAGUUAAAAACGACGGCAUAACAAAAAAC